Molecule: unclassified non-coding RNA, 344 nt
Filed under: soil metagenome
Description: partial contains 5.8S ribosomal RNA, internal transcribed spacer 2, and large subunit ribosomal RNA
Rfam family: 5.8S ribosomal RNA (bases 2-119)
Source: RNAcentral
GUGAAGAACGCAGCGAAAUGCGAUAAGUAGUGUGAAUUGCAGAAUUCAGUGAAUCAUCGAGUCUUUGAACGCACAUUGCGCCCCCUGGUAUUCCGGGGGGCAUGCCUGUCCGAGCGUCAUUGCUGCCCUCAAGCACGGCUUGUGUGUUGGGCCUCCGUCCUCCUCCCGGGGGACGGGCCCGAAAGGCAGCGGCGGCACCGCGUCCGGUCCUCGAGCGUAUGGGGCUUCGUCACCCGCUCUUGUAGGCCCGGCCGGCGCUUGCCGACACAUCAAUCUUUUUUCCAGGUUGACCUCGGAUCAGGUAGGGAUACCCGCUGAACUUAAGCAUAUCAAUAAGCGGAGGA